RNAcentral lists this unclassified non-coding RNA (22 nucleotides) under Chlamydomonas reinhardtii. RNAcentral describes it as "small RNA Cre_1209". The record is from RNAcentral. Lineage: Eukaryota; Viridiplantae; Chlorophyta; Chlorophyceae; Chlamydomonadales; Chlamydomonadaceae.
CGAGGAAUGCCUAGUAAGCGCG